RNAcentral lists this transfer-messenger RNA (345 nucleotides) under Candidatus Karelsulcia muelleri. It matches the Rfam family "transfer-messenger RNA". Rfam says of the family: Bacterial tmRNA, also known as 10Sa RNA or SsrA, is named for its dual tRNA and mRNA-like properties. Its role is to liberate the mRNA from a stalled ribosome. To accomplish this part of the tmRNA is used as a reading frame that ends in a translation stop signal. Lineage: Bacteria; Pseudomonadati; Bacteroidota; Flavobacteriia; Flavobacteriales. The record is from RNAcentral.
GGGGCUGGAUUGGAAUUGACAACAAGAUUAAUAUAUAAGUAAGCAUAUCGUGAAAAGUAAUGUAAUCACGUAAAUAUCAUUACAAAUGAUAACCGGCAAAAAAAAUUAUGCUCUUGCGGCUUGAUCAAUAACUUUUAAUUCGAAGGCAAGAUUUUUUUAUUAAAAAGAAAUUUAAUUUGAAAGAUUGAGGUUCUAAAUCUUUCUUUAAUUGUUUAGAACUUUCUUCUAAGAAAGAGUUUCUUAUCACUAAUCUUAUGUUAAAUUUGCUCUUUGAUAAGAUAAAUAUGUAGAAAACUUAUAAUAUUACUUGUUUGGACACGGGUUCGAAUCCCGUCAGCUCCACAC